RNAcentral lists this long non-coding RNA (573 nucleotides) under Vulpes vulpes (red fox). RNAcentral describes it as "lncRNA (ENSVVUG00000000067.1)". The record is from RNAcentral. Lineage: Eukaryota; Metazoa; Chordata; Mammalia; Carnivora; Canidae.
AUCUUUUUAAAAAAAGUAAUGGAAAGAUAGUAGAUGAGAAUUUAAAACCAAAAUUGAUUUACCUUUUUAUCAUUUUCUGCAGAAAACUAACCAUGAAGUGUCUACCCAUCCAAAGAAAGGAUAAAGAAGGAAGGAGAAAAGAAGAAUCUAUCAACAGAAAGUACAGAAGGAAGAGGGGGAAAAGGGAGUGAGAAAACCACACGCUAAAAUUAAUGUUUAUACACAAGGACAAGGAUGUAGCUAACGGAAUACACCAAAAUAAAUGAAAAUACUUCUUUUGCAUCCAUGAAAUAUGUAUUCAUGCUAUCCUGGAGGUACAAUGUGUGAUUACUUUACAAAUGUAAAAGAAAGGAUACAAGGAUUUGCAAAGUAACAUAAUGAAGAGUUUGAUGUCAAUGAUUUAUGAGCAGUUUCUCCUCUUAUCUUUCAAAGGUGCAUAUUUGUUUAACUUGGAGGCUGAAGAAGCAAAGGCAAAGAAAGUUCACUAAUUUGCACAAGAUCACACAGAUAGAAAUUAUGAAGUGCCAAUUUGAAUCAGGAAAUCUGCAUCUACCAUGGUUAGAAGAUACAUGA